GACGAACGCUGGCGGCGUGCUUAACACAUGCAAGUCGAGCGGUAAGGCCCUUUCGGGGGUACACGAGCGGCGAACGGGUGAGUAACACGUGGGUGACCUGCCCUCAGCUCUGGGAUAAGCCUGGGAAACUGGGUCUAAUACUGGAUAUGACUCCACGGUGCAUGUCGUGGGGUGGAAAGCCUUGUGCGGCUGAGGAUGGGCCCGCGGCCUAUCAGCUUGUUGGUGGGGUGANGGCCUACCAAGGCGACGAUCGGUAGCUGGUCUGAGAGGACGACCAGCCACACUGGGACUGAGACACGGCCCAGACUCCUACGGGAGGCAGCAGUGGGGAAUAUUGGACAAUGGGCGCAAGCCUGAUCCAGCGAUGCCGCGUGUGUGAAGAAGGCCUGCGGGUUGUAAAGC
Molecule: ribosomal RNA, 402 nt
Filed under: uncultured bacterium
Lineage: Bacteria
Description: bacterial SSU rRNA
Rfam family: Bacterial small subunit ribosomal RNA
Source: RNAcentral